This 587-nucleotide ribosomal RNA is filed under the name uncultured bacterium. RNAcentral's name for it is "bacterial SSU rRNA". It matches the Rfam family "Bacterial small subunit ribosomal RNA", at positions 338 to 916 of the family's 1533-position model. The record is from RNAcentral.
CCUACGGGAGGCAGCAGUAGGGAAUCUUCGGCAAUGGACGAAAGUCUGACCGAGCAACGCCGCGUGAGUGAAGAAGGUUUUCGGAUCGUAAAGCUCUGUUGUAAGAGAAGAACGAGUGUGAGAGUGGAAAGUUCACACUGUGACGGUAUCUUACCAGAAAGGGACGGCUAACUACGUGCCAGCAGCCGCGGUAAUACGUAGGUCCCGAGCGUUAUCCGGAUUUAUUGGGCGUAAAGCGAGCGCAGGCGGUUAGAUAAGUCUGAAGUUAAAGGCUGUGGCUUAACCAUAGUACGCUUUGGAAACUGUUUAACUUGAGUGCAGAAGGGGAGAGUGGAAUUCCAUGUGUAGCGGUGAAAUGCGUAGAUAUAUGGAGGAACACCGGUGGCGAAAGCGGCUCUCUGGUCUGUAACUGACGCUGAGGCUCGAAAGCGUGGGGAGCAAACAGGAUUAGAUACCCUGGUAGUCCACGCCGUAAACGAUGAGUGCUAGGUGUUAGACCCUUUCCGGGGUUUAGUGCCGCAGCUAACGCAUUAAGCACUCCGCCUGGGGAGUACGACCGCAAGGUUGAAACUCAAAGGAAUUGACGG